GCACCGCUGAUGCCUAUUAACCUCAUCAUCUCUGGCUCUGAACGUUAAAACCUGCCAAGCAGCACCCUCUACAGUUCACAUCUGAAAACCAAGCUUUAUGCUCCACAUGACAGCCAUGGGGAGCUGGGGAGCUGGAGCCAAUCCCAGCUGACAUAGGGGGAGGAAAGGCACGGUACAACCUGGACAGGAGGAUGGCUCCAGCAGACGAGGAACAGCUCUGCCCACGUAAACCAAUCCAAUUGCGAUCCCAGUGCAAAAGCAAACAAUCACAUUGAGAGAACGUCAACGAAGAAGACAGUAGUGACAUCAGGGUGGAGCGAGAGAUCAUGUGACUCUAAGUACUAUUAUUUAAUUAUUAUUAUUCAGAUCACAUAUAUAUGGUAUAUACAGUAGAACAGUCUUCCUGCUCUUUCCGCCAAGUACCACCAGAGGAAGCACACGUACUACUGGUGGUACACGUACAACAGCUUGAGAACCACGGCUCUAGGCGCUCGAAGGUCAUGAACGGCACUCGGAGGAGUGUCAUUACAUACAUUACAAAAAACACCUCUUCCUGUUGAGACUGUGUGUGUGUUUGGUGACUCAGACGACAGAAGGUCCCGCAUAGAUUCACAUAAUUCACACAUACAAACCACACUGUGCCAGUGUUUAGUGUGGUCUGUGCU
Molecule: long non-coding RNA, 665 nt
Organism: Solea solea (common sole)
Lineage: Eukaryota; Metazoa; Chordata; Actinopteri; Pleuronectiformes; Soleidae
Exons: 3
Source: RefSeq, a predicted model, not a curated record